GAACAAAUCACCAGAAUGAGUCAAGAGUACCAGCAAAGAAGCUUUCACCAGAUAUUCUGCAAGAAAAAUAUUUAUCGAUAGUUGCAAACUCCUUCUCGUUAAGGAUCCUGAAGUAAAAGAGGAGGUUAGGGAAAAGGAUGCAAGUUAAAAAGAAAAUGGAAGUUAUUAUGAAUUGAUUUUGGAGAAAAAUAUCAGUCAACCAGAUAGGGAGGGAGGAGGGACCUACCUGCCUAGGCAUAGGACUUGAACAAGAUGCUAGGAAUAAUUUAUAACCACAUUUGGCUUAGUAUAAGGCCAUUAUCACAGUUAUAGGAAAUACAUAUAUUUCUUUAUAUACAUAUAAAAGAAAGCUGUCAUGCUGCUCUAGUUCUACUGUAAAUGAGACUUAUCCACCUCUGAAGGCUGUCAGUUCCAUUUUGUUAGCUGGGUAGAACACCUCUUUUCUUAUAAAUUUUUACUGAGAAUUCUUUUUUCCAGAAAUUUCUGCCAAGAGAUUAAUGUCCAGCCUAAGCAAAUAUUUUUAAGGAAAAAAGCUGCAUUAGUCACCAGUUUCUGUCAGAAACAAUAUUCUUGUUUCUGUAUAAUAUUUAGUGUUUAAAAUUCACAUGCUCAGACAAUUCUAUUAUUCCUGCUGUGCACUCAUUCUACAUUUUAAAUGACAUUUCUUGGAAUACAGAACAAGAUUUUAUGCCACAGAGGCAGAUAUCCUUCACAGGGCAAACCACAAUAAGUCCUCUCCAAUUUGUUGCACCUUAUAAUAUUCCUCCCUCCACCUUCCUGAAGAAGAAUCGAGUCCCACAGCUCAUCUUCCCAAGUGAAACUCGCUGACAUCUCACUGCUGUGAGAUCCAUCUUUCACCAUGUAUGUGCAGUCCUGGUUACGUCAGCCCUCCCCCAUUACUCAAGUGCUGUAAUUCAUGCCCUACGUCAGCUUGGUAAUACCCUGCAGCUGCUCAAAGGCAUGGGACCCCUGCAUCCUCCUGCCAUUCAGUAACAACGUUUCUCUUGAUUUUGGUGGAGGAAGAACAGUCUUUCAGCCUCUUCUGUGCUGUAGCUUCCUCGAAGACUGCCUCAUUCACUCACCUCUAAAAAAGUCCAGCCUUUAAAGCUGGACCCUGGAUGAUGCUUUCUCUUGUUUUAACCGACAAGUUUGCAAAGUGCCCAAAACCCUGCAGAUUUCCUUUUCCUUUGCUCUGAGGCAUGAGUGGACAGGCAGUCCAAUACCGGAGCUUUCUGCAUGCUGGAGAGGGUUUGUUUUUUGCAUAACAGAUAUUACUUGAGCGUGUCACUUAUGGGUGACUCAAUGGUGAAUAUUACUUUGAAGUUCUCUCAGGACUUUCAGCCUUUCUUCAGAAGACUAACUGUUGUUUCAUGAGUAAAACAGGAACUGACUUCUGUUAAUAUGCAGUGAAUAAUAAAUUUAUUUAUAAGACUGCAAAAAUUUAAUGCAAAAUUCAGUUAAAUUUCUAUUCAAGUAUCUCAUGUCCUCCUUCUAACUUUCUCCUGCACGUUAAAGUAGAAAUAUUAUUUUCCAUUUCUUUUAUUAAAUUUUAUUUUAAUGCUACCAUGCAUGAUUGAAAAGUUCCCGCCUUUCUACCUAAUGGAACUGCAUUCUUUUCUAU
Long non-coding RNA from Oxyura jamaicensis (ruddy duck), 1621 nucleotides. RefSeq lists it as uncharacterized. Lineage: Eukaryota; Metazoa; Chordata; Aves; Anseriformes; Anatidae. The transcript has 3 exons. The record is from RefSeq and is a predicted model, not a curated record.